AUGUCAAAAAACGAAACAAAACUAAGAUACAAAAAUAAAGAAAAACAAAGCACAAACGUUUCUGCUGAGUCUCACUCACCACGUUGGGGUCUUGUUCUAGACAGAAUUUCUGUUAUCCAAACUGCAAGAGUCAGAAAAAUGCCUAAAAGAGCAAUAAGGCAAGGAAGACGAAUGUUCAGGAGCUCUCGGUAUUUCUGUGGAGCCAGGAGAGAGCAACAGAUUCAACAUCUUCCCAAAACUGAACUAGAUGAAAAGGAUCGCUUUGAUCUUCUGCUUCCCCCUCGGAUACACGCAAGCUUUUUGUGGUCUUAACAAAAGCAUUUCCUCAGCCGACCCUCACUUCAUCUUACUACCUUCGUUGCAAGUCAAAUUUUCA
Molecule: long non-coding RNA, 376 nt
Filed under: Cricetulus griseus (Chinese hamster)
Lineage: Eukaryota; Metazoa; Chordata; Mammalia; Rodentia; Cricetidae
Description: lncRNA (ENSCGRG00000025875.1)
Source: RNAcentral